This 375-nucleotide ribosomal RNA is filed under the name uncultured organism. RNAcentral's name for it is "bacterial SSU rRNA". It matches the Rfam family "Bacterial small subunit ribosomal RNA", at positions 526 to 896 of the family's 1533-position model. The record is from RNAcentral.
CAGAGGUCCCUAAGCGUUGUUCGGAUUCACUGGGCGUAAAGGGUGCGUAGGUGGCUUGGUAAGUUUGACUGUGAAAUCUCCGGGCUUAACCCGGAAAUGGCAUUGAAUACUAUCGGGCUGGAGGUUUGGAGGGGGGACUGGAAUUCUCGGUGUAGCAGUGAAAUGCGUAGAUAUCGAGAGGAACACCAGUGGCGAAGGCGAGUCCCUGGACAACACCUGACACUGAGGCACGAAAGCUAGGGGAGCAAACAGGGAUUAGAUACCCUGGUAGUCCUAGCUGUAAACGGUGCAUAUUUGCUGUAAAAGGAAUCGACCCCUUUUGUGGCGAAGCUAACGCGAUAAAUAUGCCGCCUGGGAAGUACGGUCGCAAGAUUA